This is a long non-coding RNA of Acinonyx jubatus (cheetah), 3820 nucleotides long. RefSeq lists it as uncharacterized. The transcript is spliced from 3 exons. NCBI's taxonomy places the organism in Eukaryota, Metazoa, Chordata, Mammalia, Carnivora, Felidae. The record is from RefSeq and is a predicted model, not a curated record.
CUGUUACACAGAGAUGAGCACAGGAUGAAGAUGGUCAGGGCAGUGCAGUGUAAUACAAGCCUGUUGGACGGGUUUGAAUCCCAAAGCUGGCAUCCAAUAGUAGCGUGGUCUCAGAUUGUUUUAAGGUGCACACCAGUUUCUUGAAACUUGGACUACAAAAGCUGGAUCAGAAGACAUUAAUAGUGAAGGGAUCCUUUGGAAUAUAAAUCCUCAUAAAGAGAGACAGACAGAGUGCGAGCCGGGGAGGGGCUGAGAAAGAGAGAGACACAGAAUCUGAAGCAGGCUCCAAGCUCUGAGCUGGCAACACAGAGCCUGAUGCAGGGCUCGAACUCACGGACCGCGAGAUCAUGACCUGAGCCAAAGUUGUAUGCUUCACCGAUUGAGCCACCCAGGUGCCCCUUUAAAACACUAAUUUUAAAACCUAUUGUUAUUAUGAAUUAGCAUAGCAUUAUAAAAAAUUAAUUUAAAUUAUUUAUGCUUUUUGGGUCAGUAAUCCCACUUAUAAUAAUCUACACUGAGAAAAUGAUUGAAGACAAGGAAAAAUCUUUCUGUACAAAAAUAUUUAUUUUAAAACUUUUUUAUAGUUAAAUAUGUGAAGUAACCUCAAAUUACAAAGUUGGGGAAAUGUUAAGGCACAUAGAACGAACUCUGUGUGAAUAUCAUAUAUUAUACGAUAAUUAUAAAUACCAUUAAGAGUAUGAAAGAUGUGUACAACAUAUGUGAAAUACAUAAAAUUAUAUGUAUACUCUGAUUACAACCAUGUGAAAUAGGUAAGGGUUGCUGUAGAGGACUAGAAUAAUUUAUGGAAAAAUAGAAGCAGUUGAAACAGGUUAACAAAUCAGGUAUAUAUUUGUAUAUAUUUGUAUAUAUUUGUAAACAAUUUCUUUCAGACUACAAACAGGUUUAUACAAUGUAUAAAAACGAAAUUAGGUCAGAUUUCCAAGUGUCUGGAAAAGAAUAGGUGUGGACCUCCUUGACUUCUGAUUCUCUUUCAUCUGAAAUCUGCUGAGCCCUUACUAAGUGAAGGGUGAAAUCUUCCAUUGCCAUUGAUGAGAACUAAGUGAAUUAUAGUGGGAGUAGACAGACCCGGCCCUUCCCUCAAGAUAGUGACUAAUUGACAAACCUUCUUGAUGGGUGUGACCUAGGGCUGACCCUUGAUGACUGGUGAUGGAUUAAAUACAGAAUGCUCACUUUUCCCUGCUUUUCUAUGAGGUUUCAAAUGAGAUGGGGCCAUUGUGAGCCAGAAGGAAUUACUAAUCCUUUUAAUCAAAACACAAGGACUGAAGCUGAGAUGAUAGUUUAGUUAUAAAGUCAAUUCUUUCAUCCUGUGUGGAAAUCCCUUCAGGUGCAUGUGUGAUUCACGUGCAUGUGUGAGAGAGAUCACCAUCUUGCCUCUGCUUGUUUAACAUGUAUUGGUACCACCGAGUGUAUCCUAUGUUUUUGAUAAGAAACAAACUUUGACAACAAACCACCCUUUUCAUGGAACGGAUCCUAAUAGCACUCUACUCUGAAAGACAAUUUGGGAAAGACUGAAUUAUAAAUAACCCUUUAAUCCUCAUACAAAGAACCAUGUCAAAAAAAGGAAUCUGGGGUGUGAAAGAGGGAUUAUAUUUAUUCUUCAAGAUCCCAAGGGGGUUAAAACUAGAAUAAAAUAAUAAAAUUAUAGUGAAUUAGGUAACUACAUGAAAAUAUGGAUUUAUUUUAGGAGUCAAGCUUCCCAUCACAAACUGUUCUCGAACAUGGAUGUGAUGAUCAUUUGCUGUGAAUGUUAUGAGGAGGACUCAAGGGUUAUUUAGGAACUUAGAAGAAUUUGGAAGAUUUGUGGCUGUCAGCCCUGAUGAUUAUCACAGAUUAUCAUCUGUGAAUCAGAGUAGAGACCAGGUUUCUGAGAUUUCUAGUCCAGGCACAAUGGGACCAGUCUGUGCUACUGAAUUUCAUACUCUGAGAGGUGGAUGGGAAAGAGGAGAACUAGGGAAGGAGGAGGUAGCCUGGGAGUGCAGCUUUGGAAGCUGUCUUCUCCACCCAUGUACAAUCAAACCCUUCCUUGCCCUCUGCUGUACAAAACUAAGAUUUUGAUCGCUUAAGUUUGUGGCUGUUGCUUCAUGGAGUUUAAUGAGGUACAUCCCAUACAGAGAAGCUACAGGACUUCUCAGAUGGUUGUUACAGGGAGGGCCUUCCUGCAUCACCGCAGUCCAUUCAUCUCUCUGCUGCCAGCAAGGGUCUGGAGGGAUGUGUCUGUACUGCCAGAGCUCUAACUGUGCCAGAUGGUUUUGUCCGAACCAAGGGAGUGACCUCAGACAGUGUUUGUCACAAGUUGCAGUCACUUUUAACUGCAAAUCUUAGUUCUGCCGGUGUUAAUGUAGAAAUCUAGGAAAAGAGGCAGCCCCUCGUAGGAAAGUGCACCUGGGUACUGGUUCUGGAGGUGGCUGGGAAACAUGGAUGUCCCUCCCAGAAAGCCCAUGCUCUUUACCCAGAUGUGUAUGGUUGAGAUCACUGCUCCCCAGGGAUGUCUAAACUCUGGGCAGACGGAGGGUAUUUGCCGGAUCCAUUAUUCUUUCUCAUUUAUCUGUAUUUGUCAAGUGUAACUAUGUGCUAUUUGUUACAUUGUAGAUACUGAGGAUAAAGUAAUAGGUAAGAAAAAGAGAGCCAAUAGUUUACAGUCUGGUUAAAUUUCUGUACUUGCUCUCACUGAGAAUUAGCUUCUCUUGGUGAUCAUCAUUAACAAAAUAGCAGCUUAGCAUUUAUGGACUUGACACCUACGUGCUAAAAACAUUUUGGUGGAAUAUUCCUAAUGAUGUAGGUGUUAUUAUUAUACCCAUUUUCCACAUGAGAAAGUGGAGACACAUAGACAAGCUAAAUGGACCAAGAUAUAUAGCCUCCAUUCAUCGUGAGAGUGGGCAUGAGAAGGCAACAACUGAGGAUUCCUUCAUCCUAUCCUGUGGGUAUUGCUUGCUGUUAAUCUCUGGGACAGGGUCUGAACCAGGCCAGGCUCUGUUAGUAACACAAUCUAGUCUCCAUCCCCCAUAAAGAUCGUUCUGAGGAGCAGGGAUUAUAUAUAGGCCCUGAGUGAAGUAGCUCGUUUUGGAAUCUCAGGUGAACAAAUAAUCUCAAGAGAGGAAGGAAGAUUCUCAAAGUUUGGAGACGGCUGCUGCAGGUUUUCCUUUGGGUGGACUAGAGGGUGAGGCUCUUUUUAUGAAACUCUUAAACUCUUAAGGAGUCAACAGGCCAGCUAAAUUGGACUUCCUGGGUUCAGAGGGUCAGCUGGACCUAACCCCAGUGGGUCAAGGAGACUUGCCAAACCUGAUGAACAGGGUCUUGGCCAAGUAGCUCAGAUUUAGUUAAGUUUUGUUCCUGUAAUACUGAAAAAACUAUAUGGAUGUGAUUCAUUUUAAUGAGAUUUAGGUGUAAUGCAAGAGUUGAGAUUUUUCCAGUUUGUAAACUCUGAACUAUUUUAUGGAGACAUAAUACCUCAUAAUGUAAACCACCAUCCUGAUUUUAAAACAAGAUACUCUCUAUGUUCUUAAGUUAUUAACUUUUUAAUUGCUUCUUCAAAACAGAUUUCUUACAUUCUUAUUUAUAGAUUAGGUGUUUAUCUUCAUCCAGCCUAUCUUUACAACUGCAUUCAAAUAUUUACUGAGUACUAUUAAAAACAAAGUUGGGGGGCGCCUGGGUGGCUCAGUCGGUUGGGCGUCCGACUUCAGCUCAGGUCAUGAUCUCGCGGUCUGUGAGUUCGAGCCCUGCGUCGGGCUCUGCGCUGACAGCUUGGAGCCUGGAGCCUAUUUCAGAUUCUGUGUCUCUCUCUCUCUCUGACCUUCCCCCG